This 254-nucleotide ribosomal RNA is filed under the name uncultured bacterium. Its description in RNAcentral is "partial 16S ribosomal RNA". It matches the Rfam family "Bacterial small subunit ribosomal RNA", at positions 524 to 776 of the family's 1533-position model. The record is from RNAcentral.
UACGUAGGGGGCGAGCGUUGUCCGGACUUAUUGGGCGUAAAGAGCUCGUAGGCGGUUCGAUAAGUCGGACGUGAAAUCUCCACGCUCAACGUGGAGGGGCCGUUCGAUACUGUCGUGACUCGAGUCCGGUGGGGGAGUGUGGAAUUCCCGGUGUAGCGGUGAAAUGCGCAGAGAUCGGGAGGAACACCCGUAGCGAAGGCGGCACUCUGGGCCGGUACUGACGCUGAGGAGCGAAAGCGUGGGGAGCAAACAGG